CUGCGGCGGUGAGAGGCCCGCGUACAGCAAAAAAAAAAAAAAGAAGGCCCAAGCUUUGGGACGCAGGAGGGACAGUAGCCUAUCGACAGUGGAAGGCUCAGGAGGACAGCCGGGAGAGGGGCCGAGCCCUGGCCGCCUGGUCUCACCAGACACCCUGCAGGGCUACUGCACAACUCUAGGAGGCGCCUUUCACGUGGUGCAGUGUGGCCCGGGCCGUGGCAGGGGUACUUCUGAGAUGACUGGGAGGAGAAGGCGGCGCAGUUUGGAAGCCACGGCAGGCGCCGAGAGCGCUUCUGAACCGGAGCCCGGGAGGGCAGCGAAGGGCGAGCGAAAGCGAAGGGGCGGCUCCGUGGCCCCCUCCCCCGACCUGGGAAGAUUCUCCCCGGACUCCACUGAGAUGGCCCCGCAGUCCCCCCGCACUGAGAGCGCGGCGACCUCCUAGCCCGGACUCCCAGCUCCGGGGAUUCAGUCUCCCUGGCCAGAGUCCUUCCCACCCCACUCCAGUGCUUCCAGUCCCAGCCGCUGGAGACCAAGUCUGGAUGGCAUCAGCAGAACUCGCACCGGGAGAGGGAGGUGCCAAGACGCUUGCUCCUUCCUGGAUGUUUGCUUCUACUGCCCAGACCCACUCCCAGAGGGAUAUCAGCUGAGGAGAUUGCCACUCUCAAGUGCACAUUGCGCAUUGCACACCUCCAGGGGGCACCAUUUCUCCGGUAGUCAUCGUAGACUUGUAUAGCUGUUGUGACUGCUUUCCAGCAGAUGGCACUCAAGCGUUUUGAGAAAGGGAUGCCUUUUUCUAAUGCACCCAGCAGUGCUAUUGGGCUAGUGUCAGGGGUGGCUAGGCCCUCUGUGAGAUCCUGUUGGUGCCUGUAUCCCCUACCCUUUGCCUCAGUCUUGCUGGGAUUAGGAGGGGUUCUAGAGUAGCACGUGGAGAGGGAACUCCUCUCCUAGGUGGUCUCUCAGGUCCCCCAGGGUUUACCCAUCCUCCCCCACAAAACUUUCUGCUAUCCUGGAGCUGAUUUCAGGGUAACGGCGCCUGUCCAGGCAUACCUGGUGACCUACUGUGGAUUUGUUUGGCUUGGCCUAGAAAGCUGCAGGGCGGCCAAGCUGAAGUGCAUAUCAGAGACCCUCUUCCUGCUUCCUCUCCCAGCGCAGGGGUUUUUUCAAUCUCACAGGGAUUGGGCCCUCUCCUACUUUCUGCAAGUACAAACUGUCCAGGUGAGAGGAGGAAGAGGGGCUAGAAGCUGGACCUGCAGGGGCAGAACCAAAAGUUGCAAACUGACGGCACCUACUGGCAACCAUAAAGACUGCAGGAGGGCUGGGGAGUCAUGGCCGAAGACAAGAUUCUGGGAUUCUCUCCGUGCCGUCUCAUGGACUACUGGGGUCUCUUCUGCCCCAUCUGCCUUGGAGAAGGGUAAAGAGAACCAGGAUCCUCAAGUCCCUGGGGAAAGCCUGGCCUGUCCCUGAUUCAGAAAACUGCCCCCAGCCCCCUCCCCGUCCUUCACCAUCAAUGGACCCAGUUCUGCCACAAAUUUAUUGUAUGAACUUGGACACCACCCCUUGGAGCUCGAAUGUCCCUAACUGCAAUGGAGACUUGUCUUCUAGAAACCGCAGACCUGGGAGGCAUAAAGGUACUGGGACAUGGAGGAAGGAGGGCAGAACUGGCGAAGAAGCAUGAAUGCAGGUGAGUGUAGGCAAUCUGGACAGAUUUCCAGGUGAGACAGAUGCCCACACUGCUACCCCAGCAGCCCCCCCAAUCCAUCCUCGGGCUCACCCCCAUCACCAUCUAGGAUAAUUCCUGGGAGGCAGGAAAAUGAACACGAGGAGGCCUCCCCACCAUUCAUGCAACCCACCUUUACUGAGCACCUGUUGUGUGCAGGCUUUGUGCUACAUCCAGGGGAUCCAGACACAGCCGAGACCACUGUCCGCCCUCAGGGAGCUUACUGCCUAGUGAGGGGAGACAGACAUAUGAAUAAAAUAAGUGCAGGUGCCCUGGGGGUGUUUAUAGGGGGCAGGGUGGGCCAGAGGCACAAAUGGUCAGUUCGACAUCCAGAGCGUGGAAAGACUUCAUGGAGGAGGUGACCCUUGAGCCAACAACGGUCUUCCAUGCUAGAGGAACAAACACAGGUAGCAUCAGGCUAACCUGGAUUCUAUCCCAGUUUUGCCACCAAGGUCACCGGGGAACCUGAAACAAGUUACUGUCUGAGCUUCACUGAGCUUCACUUUUUUUUUCUUUUUUUUUUA
This is a non-coding RNA of Delphinapterus leucas (beluga whale), 2241 nucleotides long. The record is from RefSeq and is a predicted model, not a curated record. Lineage: Eukaryota; Metazoa; Chordata; Mammalia; Artiodactyla; Monodontidae.